This 450-nucleotide ribosomal RNA is filed under the name uncultured bacterium. Its description in RNAcentral is "partial 16S ribosomal RNA". It matches the Rfam family "Bacterial small subunit ribosomal RNA", at positions 354 to 796 of the family's 1533-position model. The record is from RNAcentral.
GUGGGGAAUAUUGGACAAUGGGCGAAAGCCUGAUCCAGCCAUGCCGCGUGUGUGAAGAAGGCCUUCGGGUUGUAAACCGCUUUUGUCGGGGAAGAAACGCUCUGGGCUAAUACCCUGGGGUAAUGACGGUACCCGAAGAAUAAGCACCGGCUAACUACGUGCCAGCAGCCGCGGUAAUACGUAGGGUGCGAGCGUUAAUCGGAAUUACUGGGCGUAAAGCGUGCGCAGGCGGUCUUGUAAGACAGAGGUGAAAUCCCCGGGCUCAACCUGGGAACUGCCUUUGUGACUGCAAGGCUUGAGUGCGGCAGAGGGGGAUGGAAUUCCGCGUGUAGCAGUGAAAUGCGUAGAUAUGCGGAGGAACACCGAUGGCGAAGGCAAUCCCCUGGGCCUGCACUGACGCUCAUGCACGAAAGCGUGGGGAGCAAACAGGAUUAGAAACCCCAGUAGUCC